This is a long non-coding RNA of Tachyglossus aculeatus (Australian echidna), 473 nucleotides long. RefSeq lists it as uncharacterized. Lineage: Eukaryota; Metazoa; Chordata; Mammalia; Monotremata; Tachyglossidae. The transcript has 2 exons. The record is from RefSeq and is a predicted model, not a curated record.
CCGCAAGCUCACGUCGGCUACGUGCAGGGCUCCACACACGACCCCCAACAUGGUGUCAGGCCGCUCUGCCUAGGAGCGGAGGAGACUGCUCAAAGACUUCCCCAACAGCUCCCACGCUCAAACGCGCGCGUCAGUACGACCGGCAGAAAACGGUCAACGCCAACGAAGAAUUACUCCUCGAUGUCCCAUGCCGUGCCCAAGUUGCCGAGAAGCAGUGGCCAAACUGAGAAUCUGCAAACUCGUGAAGUCCCCCGGCAGCCGCAACGCUAAAAUAUCCCCAGACGUUCUUGUUACUGCGGAAAUUCAGCUCCUGGACUGUUCCCGAACUAGGUUUAAAACCCUGCCAGAGGAAGGCGAGGAAUAAAAGAGGCCGUGUCACAUUUCCGAGAAAUAACUCCAUUUAAGAGGCAACAGCAUAAUGGCACACAAAACUCCAAGGGGCUAAAGGGAAACAGUGGGCUUUAUUCAGAUCC